Molecule: small nuclear RNA, 106 nt
Organism: Lemur catta (Ring-tailed lemur)
Lineage: Eukaryota; Metazoa; Chordata; Mammalia; Primates; Lemuridae
Source: RefSeq, a predicted model, not a curated record
GUGCUCGCUUCAGCAGCACAUAUACUAAAAUUGGAACGAUACGGAGAAGAUUAUCAUGGCCCCUGCGCAAGGUAAAAAAAGAAAAAGAAAAAAGAAUGAGAAUGAC